GUGGCAGCUCCUUGUUGCUGGAAUCAAAGAAGAGAGACCAUAAGAACAUUUUUUUUUUUUUUGGAAGAAAAGAGGUGAUGGAGUGAGUUAUUCUAACUGGGAAUUGGCAAGAGUCUCUCCCCAGCUGCUUUGGCGUGGCCAAGGGCACAGAAUUGGGAGCCUUUGACUGUAAAAGGUAGGAUGGGUCCAUCCUGGGAAGAGGUGUUCAUAAACUCUGCACGUAAAGCUUGUGUAGGAAGAGGAAGCUUCAAAAAUACAUGACAUGAAUCAAUAUAUCACAUCACAUGUCUCUUCUGAGCAAAAAGGAAAAGAUGGGAUCCUUUUGAACCUACAAGAGCAAAUCCAUCUGACUCUUUUGACUUCUCAAUGCAUAAUGGAAUGUCACACCAAGAUGUUUCUAGAACCUUCUGUCUGAAUUCAACCCACCACUCUAAUCAUGGCUCAUCAGGCCAUUGAAAACGCUAGUGCCACUGGUGCCAGAUUUUUCCUUCUUUCUUUGCUCACUGUGCUGUUGGGAAGGGUUUGUGAUGCUGUGUUAAAAUGCUUGAAACACACACAUAUACACGUAUUCCCCACCACACACACCUGCUUUGUGCCGACACAAGAUGCAUCUAUUGAUUUACCCUGAUCCUGUGAAACUUUACAAAUGUCAUGUUCAGCUCAUACUUGCAAUGGGACUGUGACUUGGGGGUCCAUGUCCUCCCAAGCCAUUUCAAAAUGCAAGUGAUAAUGAGUGCCAUUGAUCACGUCUGAUUCACCUUUUGAGUAACAGUUGGCGCUGUGGCUAGGGAGGUGCGGGCCGACGGGGCACCAUAUCAUCUGGGCUGACAGAAUACUGUCAGGGAUGCUGUAGAGAGGGCAAGAAAUCACUUUGCUUUGCAAGCCAUAAUUAAAAAUAAUAAGCUGGUGCUCAUAGAGAGACACGGUAGGCACGGCUCUAAUUUAAAACCAAUAGCGUUUAUCUGGCAUCUUAUGAUUAUUUAUGUGCAUCACAGCCCUGCUGCAUUGACUAAUUAUCAGUGGAUAGGGACGGGGGGUUGGCAGAAGAGAAUGGAGAAAGGUAACUGGGGAUAGGAUCACCAUUAGGAGAACAUCAGGGACGAUGGGUUUCCAUUUCCUCCCCAAGGCUUACAGUUUUUCUGCCCCUACAGGGUUUUUAGACUGUGCCCAAGCAGAGAGUUUACUGGCGAUUCCCACCGCUCCAUGGUUUGGUUUGCAUUCCCUAUGGUUGUGCCCUAGAACCAUCGAGAGCCAAGGUCACUCUGAGAAUCAAGAUCUCAAGAGCCAUGAGGAGAUUUGCCAUCAGCUCCCACGUGGUGAGAGAAUCCAGGCAGCUUAGCCGCCGAUCCAGGCUCCCCCAACCCCACCCCAGAGUGGUUAUACUAGCACCAUUCAUGCAUCACAACAAACUGGCCUUGCACAGUUCCAGCAAUCCUGAGGAAAGAUCAAAGUUGGCCACUCGGGAGAGCAAAAAGCAGAAUUCUUCCAAACCCAAGGUAAUCUUUUUAAAUCUCUGACCAUCUAAAAUGAUACCAUGUUGCACUCUCUUGCAUUUUUGGAACAGUGUUUUUGCAGUGAAAUUUCUGCACUUAAACAUUGAUUCAGAACCGAGUUGAUGAGGGAGCUGGAGUCACGCGUUUUCCCUCCAUGGGAAUCUAAGAGCGAUUGCUAUUGACCUCAUUUCAUGUAAACCUCCAUUUGGCUACCAUGCUGAAAACCAUAAAUGUUAGAAAAGCCUUUUUUAAAAUCAAGAACUGGCUUUGAUUCCUCCACCACUAGGCUCAGGGUGAUAUACAAUUUUAAUCCCAUCACGAGUGGGAUCUGGCUUUGUAGAAAAACACAGUACAGCCGGUUAUCUGAACGCAAGGACCACCUCCUCCACUCCCAACAUCAAGCAUGGACACUUGGCAAAGUCUCACUCUCUGAUUCACGCUCUGUUCAACUAACAUUCAGUUUCCUUUCGUCUCUUGCUGGAGUUAAAUGGGGCUUUUAGUCCCAAGCCCCCGACCCUCACGGCUUCUCAGGGAAUGCUCUUUCCAGCUGCACCAAUGGCAGCCUCUGAGUGAUAUCUUUAUGUGAUCGGAGGUGAUGACAGUUUCAUAGCAAGUUCUAAUUUUUGGCGCAUCGGCCUUUUGGUCUGCCUAUCAUCAGAAUGAGACCGAGACACAUUAGAGGAAUCUCAUUAGUAAAUAAGCCAGUACUGCUGAUACAAGAUAAACCAUCUUUAGACUGAUAGGAAAAGAAAAUUUACAAGAGCACUUUCGUCACCGUCAAAUGACUUUCAUGCCACUUUGGGGGGCAUCAGCACAUAAUUCAGAAAAGAUGAAAGAGCCAUAUAAAGGAAAUAAUGUUAACAACACUGUUAUAAACUGUGAGGCAAUGCUUUGCUGGUUGUCACCACUGCUUAGUGAUCCAUCCUGAAAAGAUAAUGCCGUAUCCUGACAUAGAAACGCUGGCUGGAGCUGUGGGUUGCCCUAAGUGACUUUCUGAAGAGCAAUUUAUGGGGCGCCUGUAGGUUGAUGCAGUGGCUGAUCCUGGGAACCGGAGUGUGGCGACUCCGUCCCCUGGCAGGGACACGGAGUUAGGAUGUGACUGACAGGAGACCGAGGAUUUCUGGGAAGCCCAGUAGACUCUUUAAUCAUGCCUGGAUGCCGUUUCUGAUCUGGUCAAACAUUUGCGAGCCGCCAGAGGAGAGCUACGCCAUCAAUCUUGAUAGUGUACGUAAAAUUACCCGGGAUUCUUGUUUGGGAUUAAGUUAAGAGUAUCUGCGUAAUAAGGGUUCAUCAUUCUCUUUCAGAAAUCAUUUGUCAGACAUGCAGCACAAUGUUUACCCCCAGCAAGGUGGGAUUUUAGAAAGCGGUUGCUGUUUGUUUAUAGUUGGGGCCCUGAGGUCUAAAUUAUCCAUCCUGUCCCAAGUCUUUGUUGGGAUGAGAAUGUGGAGGAGCCACUUUUCAUCAACAUUUAUUUGAUAACCACUAGCCAUCAAUUUGCAGCUGUCAGCAUGGAAUACAAAUGAAUAUCGACUCUUGGAGAGAACCAGGUACAGAGGUUUCUGACCAACAACCUACAGUAAAGGAAGAAAUCCACCCACCCACAUCUUCGGAUUUGUAAUGCAUCGGUUAGUUUGCUAAUAUAACGUACAUCUUAAUAAGGACAUGUUACUCAACGGAUGUUUCGUUUUGGGGUUUCUCUGUUUUUAAAUGCAUGCUUCUUAAAAGAAAAGAAUAGAUUCCAGUCUUAAAGUAGAUUUAACUCUGAGACAUAUAAAAAUAUUAGACACACUAUCAUGAGCUAUCUAUAUAUCCAGUGAUUUCGAGAGUAGUAAACAUUCUAAGAUUGCUCUACUACAGAUGCAUUGACAGCAGGACAUUGCAUGGCCAAUGGUGAGUGAAUUAAUCUAUGCAGAAAAGCAGAGUUGAGGAAGGAAAGGCAGCAUGAAGCUUAGAGGAGACCCAGAACCCCAAGGUCCAGGCAGGAGAACAGCCCUUUUGGAAGUGGGCAGUGAUCACUGUGCUAAACUCCAGGACAAAGACAUUUGUAGGCUUCAGAGGAAAAAAUGACACAUGCCUCUCUUUCCCUGUUACUCAUCUGGGGCCUGCUAGACAAAGCAAACACUGCCCAGAUGUAGACCCAGCCAUAGCGCCAAUGGCCCUGUGAAUAUGACGGAAUAAUUGAACCUGGAGCCCGGGUAGAGAUGGGCCAGAGAGCACAGGUGUCACAAGUGGGAUAAAUGGCUGCCUCCACACCCUCUCUGCCCUUGUCCAUCUCCCAGGAACAUUCCCCAAAGAGAGGUGACAACCACUCUACUGGAAAAGUGAUGCAGUGUUUCAGAACUCACCUCCCAAGACCGUGGUGCCUGGUACACAGGCGUUCCUCAAAAACAAUAUGGUUUAAAUUACUGGUUUGAAAGAAAAAAACAAAAGCGAGCUGCUCCAAAAGGUUGUGUGUUUCCCACUCACCAUCUGAGAACAGUGCUUUCAGCUGGCAAAGGAGCAGCAUAUUCUGUUAGUUUGCAAAGCGAGGCAGCUUGCAUGGGACUGAGGCUCACGGGCCUUCCCAGUGGUGGGACCUCAACCCACACAUCCCUUUCUUGCUUGUGCACCUGAAUGGAUGGCUGGGACAUAAGUGCGAGUCAGUAACAAACCAACUUCCACCAAGAUGGUGUGAGAUGAGAACAAAGAAGGAAACAUGACUUGAAAGGACUGUCCACAUCAUCGAGCUUUUCUGUACGUCCUUGUGGAUGGGGGCUGUCAGUGGUGACAACGGCUGGCCUCUGCCGAGAGCUUACGAUUCCUCUGGCACCAUACAGGGGGCUUUAUGAGUACGAUACUCUAAACCCUACAUGGUGCUACAAGCCACGGGAAAUCAUUAUCCCCAUUUACGGAGAAGCCCAUGGAGCACCAGAGAUCCAAAGCCACACAGCUAUUCUCACAGAUGGACUCUCCAGAAGCCACACCGGCUGCAGCACACAACCUCCUUCCCAAACAUGCCACAUGCAUGUGCACGCCGCCCGUUGCCUGUAUGUCUCUGCCUCUUGGCUGUGGCUUUCUGAGGAACCCUCUUCUCAGCCAGGCCACGUCCGACCACCGUGUGCGGCCCUGACACGGUCUCAAGUGAAAUGUCUGGGCCGUCGUGUGCUCGGCUGAGAGAUGUUAAGAGGUGAUUUCCCACUGUUGAUUUAGGCAAUGAACUAAAUUGAAAUUAUAUCCAUUUGGAUUAACAAAAAUGAAGACUCAGCGCCACCUCAGAAGAUCCGAGAGCAAAUGACCCUGAACAAAACGGUCGCCUGCUUCAAAACACCACCUCCAGGUGCCACGUUUGCCCAGCUAUGAAUCUUCCAUUCUUGGACAACAGAUUUUUUUUUUCAGAGCAUGAACAGAACCACAUCAAAGCAGGGACACCCAAGCAAUCUCCACCUUAUGACACGCACACCCACAGAGGAUGAGGGAGGCCUUUUGGGGAUCACAUCUGACAGGUGGCAUCAGGUUUGCAGAGGAACCUCUGAUCCAUCGGCUCAGCUGCCCUCCCCCAUGGAUUCCUAGCCGAUGAAUUCCACCUUAUUCCCAACACUCGACUUCUGCAAAGGCAGCCAACAUUAUAGGCUUCGAGACGUGCAAAUACAUCCUGUCGGUGUCAAAACAGAACUUUCUUCAUAGCCCUCAAGUGUUUUGCUAACUCACUCACGGGCUGUUCUUAACAUUUAUCAGAGGAGGAAAAUCCGCUCAAUUUCUCAAAUGGAAAAAGUGAAGAACGUCAGGGAGGUGGGUGUUUGUUUUAACGGUGGAGGCUGUGAAGGUCUGUGACGAGGUUCUGGAGAAGCCAUGAAGACCACCUCUGGAUCGCAGCCUGAUGGGAGAGACUGUGUCCCUGUCACAGUGCAUUAGCCUCUUUACCUCCUGCCACAGGGACACGGCUUCGUUGCUAGAAAGAGGAUCACAAAGGCAGAGAUCCUCAGAGGUUCCUCUCUAGCUGAUCGUCCCCUCCCGUGGCCGGUAAAGGAGUGUCAUUCCCCAGAUGACACUGGGACACGGUCUACCAGGGCUUGACGGCAGCUGCUCUGAGGGAGAGCUCAGUGACGGGACAUGCCAGCCCAUCUCCAUAAAUAUUCUUGGUCCUGGCAGAGGGCACAGCCCCGAAUUACAAAGGACAUCUUGAAUGGGGUGUUUGGGGGGCACGAAUGGGACACGGCUUUCACCUAGCAGCCUCCUUUCACAGCCUCCUUUGGGAAAGAAUCAUGAUGAUGUGGAGGCUUUCUUGUGUGCAGUUCAGGCACCCCAAAUAUCAUACCCUCAAUACCUGUUGGACUACAGAGAACCCCCCUAGUCUCCUUGACAAAAGGCAUGGUGCUACAGGAAGACCAUUAAGGAGUUUUCAGAGGGUGACUUGAAGACUAAAGCAGAAUGAGUUGGAAAGUCAGGAGAAAGGCUGGAAAGGCUUUUUGUAAGGCAGGAGAAUAGAUUUGCCUUAGGUUCUGGGGAAGGAAGGGCAGCCAGUCCCAGCCAUCCAAAGACGUCCAGAGCCACGUCUGUUCUGGGAAGGCCAGGUUCCAGAGGAUUUUUUGCUUUGGCCAUCAGCAGGACUUCAGGGCAGAGUGACCUUGGGAGAUUUUCAGGACUGUGUUUUGAAUUCAGCGAACUGCUCUGAACUUUCCCUUGACACGAAUGAGGCCCUUUUCCUAUCUCCUUCGUGUUCCAGAAUCCUUGCCAUCACUGUUCCAAUGGUUCCAUGACAGAUUUAUGGCUGGUCUCAAAAGCGUGGAGAUGGACUAUUUAGAAUGAUUUCCUCUUUCUGAGACCUGCUGUUACUGUGAGAUUCUAGACGUGUUUUGGUGCAGUGGAAAGUCCUCCAGAGGAGGGAAGGAGAAAGCAAUGGCUAAGUCCGGUCCGGGGGGGGGACCUUAUUCGUACCUGUUCCACCUUUCGUUUGUGCCAAAGAUGUUCUACAACUGAUUGGGCUGGACAGAGACGGUCUCAUUAAAAAUAAGAGCUGUCGUUGACUGUUCGUAUGCCCAUGAAAGAAUUCCCUGGGCAUUUCCUGCCAAGGCAGCCUGCAGUACCCACACUGCUUUUCAAAUAGGGCGUUCUCUUGCUGGGAUGGAAGAUGGCACUGGGGAAGCCAUCCUUCCAUGGGUUUCUUGGAGAUGACUAAGCAGAAGGACCAUCAAAAUUUGCCACCACAAUCAGCAUCACCCUUGCACCUGGGACAAAUCCGGCAGCCUGUUUCUGGGAUUUUCUCCAACCGGGCCACCUCGACGCUAAUGCUAAAGGACUCCUGAGUGUUUGUUUAUAAGAGAGAAAAGAAGAUAUUUCGCUUGUGUUCAUUUGAAACAUUUUGCAUUUUCACUCUACUUCUUUAACCUCGGUGAUAGCUGGCUCUGUAUACUGUAUAUAAAUGGAUGCCUCUGUAUUUGCCAUGUAUACUGAAAUAAAUAAACCUUUGGCAUUAUAGCCAGGCAGAAUUCAUGGGUUCCGUUCCAAUAUAAUGGUGCAAAGAAUAGCUUCACAGUACAGGUGAAACCAACAGCUUCCCCCCUUCCCUUCUCCUGCACAGAAUCUCUCCACUGGGUCGGGUCCGCCUGCCCACUCUGGCUCUUUAAGAAAACCAAGAGCUGACCGUUUUUGUGAGCCGGGAGGAUUUGGGGGCCAACCCCAAACAAGCUGUCCUGCCUUGAAGGUUGACAGUUGAUUUACACCUAGGUCACACAGAGAGUCUAUGACAUAGCACUGAGAAGGCACAGGGCGGUAGGGGGUGGGGGAGAGAGAAAACCCACAGGGUCUUCCCUGAUGGGGCCACAUCAUGGUAAGAAAUGAACUCUUAACUCUGUCUUCCAGCCAAGCAUUAAGGACACGGAGGCUGCCACCACUCAGAUCUCCCAGGCAGGCCCCCGCGCCCAGCCCCACCAUUUCAAGGCGAGCAUGUCUGCGUUAGGUUUGUGCAUUUUCCUAGAGAACUCACUCCAGCAGAUCAUUUCUCAGGCUCAAAGACGCUGGCCUUGUUAAUAUUUCAUUUAGAACAUACUGCGGAGAGCGUCUCAUUUAUAUUACUUCCAUAAUUAAUGGUGAGAGCGCAGGCACUGCCUUGAUACAGACAGAUCUCGUCACCGUGGUCCAUGCGUAAGGAGAAACAAUAGAUAUUUCAUUCACCAGCAGCUUGUCGCUAGUUAGUGGGAAUGAUCAUGCAUGCUGUUGCUUUAAUUGCCAGGGUAAAUAAUUCUGCCUCGGUGUUAGCAUUUUAAAGCACUUGAUGCAAAUAGACUAGGAACUGAACACACACACACACACACAAACUACCUUGAUUAUGCAAUAUCUUAGCAUAGAAAGUUACAAAGGUAUGUCUUUUUUUAAAAAAAAAAAUCCAUUCCAUCAUGCAAAUAUUAUCUAAAUAUGCAUGUGCUGACGACUCAUCUACUGUAUUUUAGGAAAUACAAUUAGGCUGCCUUUCUCUUCUCCUGUGUGGACUGUAAAUACCUGUAGAUCUUUCUCUUGUUUCCUUAUGUAAAUAUAUGUAAAUACUAACAAGCCCUGCAUGCUGAUAUUCUAGGCAAUUUCAGGUCCUUUUAUAAUCUGAAGGCAUGUACUUGAACUGGUUUGUUAAAAGGAAAAAACAAAAAACAAACAAAAAAAAAACCUCUCUCGAACUCUUUAAAGCUGCAUAGAAAUUAAAGAUUUCUUCCUAGA
This is a non-coding RNA of Sus scrofa (pig), 8177 nucleotides long. NCBI's taxonomy places the organism in Eukaryota, Metazoa, Chordata, Mammalia, Artiodactyla, Suidae. The record is from RefSeq and is a predicted model, not a curated record.